CGAAUGGGGAAACCCAGUGUGAUUCGUCACACUAUCAUUAACUGAAUCCAUAGGUUAAUGAGGCGAACCGGGGGAACUGAAACAUCUAAGUACCCCGAGGAAAAGAAAUCAACCGAGAUUCCCCCAGUAGCGGCGAGCGAACGGGGAGGAGCCCAGAGCCUGAAUCAGCAUGUGUGUUAGUGGAAGCGUCUGGAAAGGUGCGCGAUACAGGGUGACAGCCCCGUACACAAAAGCGCAUGUGCUGUGAGCUCGAUGAGUAGGGCGGGACACGUGGUAUCCUGUCUGAAUAUGGGGGGACCAUCCUCCAAGGCUAAAUACUCCUGACUGACCGAUAGUGAACCAGUACCGUGAGGGAAAGGCGAAAAGAACCCCGGCGAGGGGAGUGAAAAAGAACCUGAAACCGUGUACGUACAAGCAGUGGGAGCACCCUUCGGGGUGUGACUGCGUACCUUUUGUAUAAUGGGUCAGCGACUUAUAUUCUGUAGCAAGGUUAACCGUAUAGGGGAGCCGGAGGGAAACCGAGUCUUAAUUGGGCGUUAAGUUGCAGGGUAUAGACCCGAAACCCGGUGAUCUAGCCAUGGGCAGGUUGAAGGUUGGGUAACACUAACUGGAGGACCGAACCGACUAAUGUUGAAAAAUUAGCGGAUGACCUGUGGCUGGGGGUGAAAGGCCAAUCAAACCGGGAGAUAGCUGGUUCUCCCCGAAAGCUAUUUAGGUAGCGCCUCGUGAAUUCAUCUCCGGGGGUAGAGCACUGUUUCGGCUAGGGGGCCAUCCCGGCUUACCAACCCGAUGCAAACUGCGAAUACCGGAGAAUGUUAUCACGGGAGACACACGGCGGGUGCUAACGUCCGUCGUGAAGAGGGAAACAACCCAGACCGCCAGCUAAGGUCCCAAAGUCAUGGUUAAGUGGGAAACGAUGUGGGAAGGCCCAGACAGCCAGGAUGUUGGCUUAGAAGCAGCCAUCAUUUAAAGAAAGCGUAAUAGCUCACUGGUCGAGUCGGCCUGCGCGGAAGAUGUAACGGGGCUAAACCAUGCACCGAAGCUGCGGCAGCGAACGUAUCACCCAAGACAACUUUACGGAGUUGACGAUUGACGGAGCGAAGCGACGUCAAAGCGUUCAUUAAAGUCGAGUUGGCUUAGGGAUACGUUCGUUGGGUAGGGGAGCGUUCUGUAAGCCUGUGAAGGUGUGUCGUGAGGCAUGCUGGAGGUAUCAGAAGUGCGAAUGCUGACAUAAGUAACGAUAAAGCGGGUGAAAAGCCCGCUCGCCGGAAGACCAAGGGUUCCUGUCCAACGUUAAUCGGGGCAGGGUGAGUCGACCCCUAAGGCGAGGCCGAAAGGCGUAGUCGAUGGGAAACGGGUUAAUAUUCCCGUACUUGGUGUUACUGCGAAGGGGGGACGGAGAAGGCUAUGUUGGCCGGGCGACGGUUGUCCCGGUUUAAGCGUGUAGGUGUGUGUUCCAGGUAAAUCCGGUUCACUUUAACACUGAGGCGUGACGACGAGGCACUACGGUGCUGAAGCAACAAAUGCCCUGCUUCCAGGAAAAGCCUCUAAGCAUCAGGUAACACGAAAUCGUACCCCAAACCGACACAGGUGGUCAGGUAGAGAAUACCAAGGCGCUUGAGAGAACUCGGGUGAAGGAACUAGGCAAAAUGGUGCCGUAACUUCGGGAGAAGGCACGCUGACACGUAGGUGAAGUGAUUUACUCAUGGAGCUGAAGUCAGUCGAAGAUACCAGCUGGCUGCAACUGUUUAUUAAAAACACAGCACUGUGCAAACACGAAAGUGGACGUAUACGGUGUGACGCCUGCCCGGUGCCGGAAGGUUAAUUGAUGGGGUCAGCGCAAGCGAAGCUCCUGAUCGAAGCCCCGGUAAACGGCGGCCGUAACUAUAACGGUCCUAAGGUAGCGAAAUUCCUUGUCGGGUAAGUUCCGACCUGCACGAAUGGCGUAAUGAUGGCCAGGCUGUCUCCACCCGAGACUCAGUGAAAUUGAACUCGCUGUGAAGAUGCAGUGUACCCGCGGCAAGACGGAAAGACCCCGUGAACCUUUACUAUAGCUUGACACUGAACAUUGAGCCUUGAUGUGUAGGAUAGGUGGGAGGCUUUGAAGUGUGGACGCCAGUCUGCAUGGAGCCGACCUUGAAAUACCACCCUUUAAUGUUUGAUGUUCUAACGUGGACCCGUAAUCCGGGUUGCGGACAGUGUCUGGUGGGUAGUUUGACUGGGGCGGUCUCCUCCUAAAGAGUAACGGAGGAGCACGAAGGUUGGCUAAUCCUGGUCGGACAUCAGGAGGUUAGUGCAAUGGCAUAAGCCAGCUUGACUGCGAGCGUGACGGCGCGAGCAGGUGCGAAAGCAGGUCAUAGUGAUCCGGUGGUUCUGAAUGGAAGGGCCAUCGCUCAACGGAUAAAAGGUACUCCGGGGAUAACAGGCUGAUACCGCCCAAGAGUUCAUAUCGACGGCGGUGUUUGGCACCUCGAUGUCGGCUCAUCACAUCCUGGGGCUGAAGUAGGUCCCAAGGGUAUGGCUGUUCGCCAUUUAAAGUGGUACGCGAGCUGGGUUUAGAACGUCGUGAGACAGUUCGGUCCCUAUCUGCCGUGGGCGCUGGAGAACUGAGGGGGGCUGCUCCUAGUACGAGAGGACCGGAGUGGACGCAUCACUGGUGUUCGGGUUGUCAUGCCAAUGGCACUGCCCGGUAGCUAAAUGCGGAAGAGAUAAGUGCUGAAAGCAUCUAAGCACGAAACUUGCCCCGAGAUGAGUUCU
RNAcentral lists this ribosomal RNA (2757 nucleotides) under Salmonella enterica subsp. enterica serovar Typhimurium. RNAcentral's name for it is "bacterial LSU rRNA". It matches the Rfam family "Bacterial large subunit ribosomal RNA". Lineage: Bacteria; Pseudomonadati; Pseudomonadota; Gammaproteobacteria; Enterobacterales; Enterobacteriaceae. The record is from RNAcentral.